AGGGCAAGAUGGCCAUUCCACUGCUGGAGUC
Molecule: non-coding RNA, 31 nt
Filed under: Mus musculus (house mouse)
Lineage: Eukaryota; Metazoa; Chordata; Mammalia; Rodentia; Muridae
Source: RNAcentral